CUGCGCGCUUACCAUGCAAGUCGAACGGGCACUUCGGUGCUAGUGGCAGACGGGUGAGUAACACGUGGGAACGUACCUUUCGGUUCGGAAUAAUUCAGGGAAACUUGGACUAAUACCGGAUACGCCCUUCGGGGGAAAGAUUUAUCGCCGAUAGAUCGGCCCGCGUCUGAUUAGCUAGUUGGUGAGGUAAUGGCUCACCAAGGCGACGAUCAGUAGCUGGUCUGAGAGGAUGAUCAGCCACAUUGGGACUGAGACACGGCCCAAACUCCUACGGGAGGCAGCAGUGGGGAAUAUUGGACAAUGGGCGCAAGCCUGAUCCAGCCAUGCCGCGUGAGUGAUGAAGGCCUUAGGGUUGUAAAGCUCUUUUGUCCGGGAAGAUAAUGACUGUACCGGAAGAAUAAGCCCCGGCUAACUUCGUGCCAGCAGCCGCGGUAAUACGAAGGGGGCUAGCGUUGCUCGGAAUCACUGGGCGUAAAGGGCGCGUAGGCGGACUCUUAAGUCGGGGGUGAAAGCCCAGGGCUCAACCCUGGAAUUGCCUUCGAUACUGGGAGUCUUGAGUUCGGAAGAGGUUGGUGGAACUGCGAGUGUAGAGGUGAAAUUCGUAGAUAUUCGCAAGAACACCAGUGGCGAAGGCGGCCAACUGGUCCGAUACUGACGCUGAGGCGCGAAAGCGUGGGGAGCAAACAGGAUUAGAUACCCUGGUAGUCCACGCCGUAACGAUGAAUGCCAGCCGUUGGGGAGCUUGCUCUUCAGUGGCGCAGCUAACGCUUUAGCAUUCGCCUGGGGAGUACGUCGCAGAUUAAACUCAAAGGAAUUGACG
RNAcentral lists this ribosomal RNA (820 nucleotides) under uncultured Allobosea sp. RNAcentral describes it as "bacterial SSU rRNA". It matches the Rfam family "Bacterial small subunit ribosomal RNA", at positions 40 to 915 of the family's 1533-position model. Lineage: Bacteria; Pseudomonadati; Pseudomonadota; Alphaproteobacteria; Hyphomicrobiales; Alloboseaceae. The record is from RNAcentral.